UACGUAGGGGGCAAGCGUUGUCCGGAGUUACUGGGCGUAAAGGGCACGCAGGCGGUUGUGUCAGUUUGCGGGGACAGUGAGCGGCUUAACUGCUCAAGGGUCGCAAAGACGGCACGACUACGAGAGCGAGAGAGGGACCUGGAACUCCGGGUGGAGCGGUGAAAUGCGUAGAGAUCCGGAAGAACACCACUGGCGAAGGCAAGGUCCUGGCUCGUAUCUGACGCUGAGGUGCGAAAGCUAGGGGAGCGAACGGG
This 254-nucleotide ribosomal RNA is filed under the name uncultured bacterium. RNAcentral's name for it is "partial 16S ribosomal RNA". It matches the Rfam family "Bacterial small subunit ribosomal RNA", at positions 524 to 776 of the family's 1533-position model. The record is from RNAcentral.